UUCGGAACACAAUACCCUCGGGAAACUGAGGCUAAUAGUGUAUACCACAGUCCACCUGGAAUGAGGACUGUGCCAAACGCUCCGGCGCCGAAGGAUGUGGCUGCGGCCGAUUAGGUAGACGGUGGGGUAACGGCCCACCGUGCCAAUAAUCGGUACGGGUCAUGAGAGUGAGAACCCGGAGACGGAAUCUGAGACAAGAUUCCGGGCCCUACGGGGCGCAGCAGGCGCGAAACCUUUACACUGCACGCCAGUGCGAUAAGGGAAUCCCAAGUGCGUAGGCAUAGAGCCUACGCUUUUGUCCACCGUAGGGAGGUGGACGAAUAAGGGCUGGGCAAGACCGGUGCCAGCCGCCGCGGUAAUACCGGCAGCCCGAGUGAUGGCCGAUCUUAUUGGGCCUAAAGCGUCCGUAGCUGGCCGCGCAAGUCCAUCGGAAAAUCCACCCGCUCAACGGGUGGGCGUCCGGUGGAAACUGCGUGGCUUGGGACCGGAAGGCGCGACGGGUACGUCCGGGGUAGGAGUGAAAUCCCGUAAUCCUGGACGGACCGCCGAUGGCGAAAGCACGUCGCGAGGACGGAUCCGACAGUGAGGGACGAAAGCCAGGGUCUCGAACCGGAUUAGAUACCCGGGUAGUCCUGGCCGUAAACAAUGUCUGUUAGGUGUGGCUCCCACUACGAG
This 675-nucleotide ribosomal RNA is filed under the name halophilic archaeon. RNAcentral's name for it is "bacterial SSU rRNA". It matches the Rfam family "Archaeal small subunit ribosomal RNA", at positions 115 to 789 of the family's 1478-position model. Lineage: Archaea; Methanobacteriati; Methanobacteriota; Halobacteria; Halobacteriales. The record is from RNAcentral.